AAAGAACAAUUUCUAGUGUUUUAUUUAAUUAUUUUUCUUAAGUAAUGUCUCGUUAAUUCUUCAAGAAUUUUCGGAGCGUUACACAUUAAACCUGAGGAAAAAAAUUAAUUGAUUAGAAACAAAAUCGUAAAUUAGGAAGAAACUCAAAAUCUUGCUUCUUAGGUGAUACAUAAAAAUUGAUUUCGUCUAAAGACGGCUAACCUUAAAUAAAGAGAUGAGAGGAACACCGAUCCGAUCAACGAUGAGAGAAACAGCCGGUGAUUCGAGAUGAAAGAAUUAGAUUUUGGUUUAGAAAGAAGAAAACGAAGAAGAUGAUUGAUGGAGCUUGUUGGAGAGGGGUUCCUUGAAGCUUGAAGAAUUGGUGAUUUUCCGGUGGUUUACGGUGGUUAUUGGAGCUCCUUCCGAUGGCAAAUC
This 414-nucleotide long non-coding RNA is filed under the name Arabidopsis lyrata. RNAcentral describes it as "long non-coding RNA (ALYR_LNC003290)". Lineage: Eukaryota; Viridiplantae; Streptophyta; Magnoliopsida; Brassicales; Brassicaceae. The record is from RNAcentral.